Actinia tenebrosa (Australian red waratah sea anemone) is the source of this 1228-nucleotide long non-coding RNA. RefSeq lists it as uncharacterized. NCBI's taxonomy places the organism in Eukaryota, Metazoa, Cnidaria, Anthozoa, Actiniaria, Actiniidae. The record is from RefSeq and is a predicted model, not a curated record.
AAGUCUCGUACACGAGUCAACGGUUCUUAUAACGUACUUUCGUUGAACGACAAGCAAGGAACGUCUCACGGAGUAUUCGAGUUCGACAAAAUUUUACACAGCCUUUACUACAGAAAGAGCUUUGAUCGAAAGAAUUAUGAAGGUCUUGGUUGCCAUGACAAUAUGCCUCUUUUCGCUGUGCACCCAAUCACAUGGUCAAGACCAAUCAGGCGAGAAUGAGUGCUACAUAUGUUACAAGGACUGCCAAGAGAAGGGCGCGGAGAUAUGCUACUAUAAGUGCCCUUCAAGAACCCAUUUUGGUCGGCUCUUGGGGCUAUGUUAUGAGAUGUGCAUAAUGGGGCAUAUGGAGAAUUGCAUGAGAAAAGGAGAAUGCAGAACUCUGAAAGGUAGGAAGAAAUUAGAAGAAAAACCAGAAGAGAAACCACAAGAAAAACCAGUAGAGAAACCAUAUAUCGAAGCUGAUGAUGUGUUUCAAGAUUUCCUGAAGAAACAUAUGAAGUGAACAUCAAAUUCCAGCCCAGAAGAAAAAAAAAUUUUUUUWAAAGUCAAGUAACAAACUAUUAAGACUUCUAUCAUGUAAAUGAUUACAUAAUAUUCUAAAAACAAUUUUUUAAAGUUGUAAUUCCAGGAAGUUCAAGGCCAAAAUAAUGCAUUUCCCAUAUUUUCUCAUAAUUGAAUGAAAAUUAAGCAACAAUAAAACACGAGAAAUCCCUUAGCCAAUAGCGCAUCGCAGUCGUGAUGUCAUAAAAAUGAAGACAAAGGUGAAAUUCGGACAAACAAACUUACAAGUUUACUUUCAGCAGAUAAUUUUCACAGCCGAUCGCAGUUGAUCUUAGUUUACAUGGGUUGUUAUUGUAACUUUAAGUAAAAAUAAUAAAAUCAGUUCGUAUAAUCCUUGUAGCGGUUAAACAGAAUGCAAUGUUUGUCCGAAUCUUUAAGCUAUUUUUAGAAUCAGUGCGCUGUGUUAUUGUUUCCAAACAUUUCAUAUUGGUGCUUUUAUUUCCAACAUAGACAACUCCAAAAUUUCUAAUUUUCCAGCUUAUUAUCAAGAUUAAUAAUGCUUCUUGAUAACAACCCUCAAGGAAUCUCAAAAUCUGGAAUUUGCAAAGGAAUGGACAAGGACUCCAAAGAGUUUGUAACAUAUAUUAUACAGUGUAACCUAAAUUUUGGAAAAUUUUUACUAUAUCAAAUAAAAUGCAUGUCUUGUAAUAAAAGUAUUUAUGACAAA